GGUAGGAAAGCAUGCCAGCUCCCUCAACCAAUCGCAGGGCGAAGCGGCCCAACGGGCUGAGGCGUGGCCUCCUGCAAGAUCUUAUCAAACUGGGAGGUCGGGCGGAGCGAGGGGGGCGUGGUUACGUGACUGACCUCGGCAACAGCCAAUCGUAAGUGAAGACGGCUGAGCGGAGUGCCCCUCUUACGUCACAACCGCGUAACUCUUGAAGGCUUGAGGGGAGGUCCCGCUCCAGCAGCGAGCGUAUGUGCACGCCUGCGCGACAGCUCAAGGCGAUGGCCGGAGACCUUGAACUGCUUCUACAGGACGAGUAUGAAUUCGCUGAUCAGAAGUUUGUAGAUUUGAGGACUGGCCGUUUACUCUUACUAGGCUCUCUUACCGGUUACAUCCAGAUUUUUCUUAAAGACCGGAAAUGCUGGUCAUCUUAGUUUUUUGUCCGAUGCUUUCUGUAUGAUGAUGCCUAAUAAAAAUAAGUGAACUGCA
Long non-coding RNA from Dama dama (fallow deer), 483 nucleotides. RefSeq lists it as uncharacterized. NCBI's taxonomy places the organism in Eukaryota, Metazoa, Chordata, Mammalia, Artiodactyla, Cervidae. The record is from RefSeq and is a predicted model, not a curated record. The transcript is spliced from 2 exons.